GACGGCUGUGAGACGGACCCCGACGACACCUCCGCCUUCGACUACUCCUCCGUCACUUCCUGCAGCCCGGACGGCACCCUGCGCAGGGAGACGCUGGACACCAACAGCGGGGAAGACGAGGACGGGGACGACGAGGAAGACAGCCAGGUGCCGGUGCUGCUGAAUCCGUCGUACAGCCGCCAGCAGCAGGAGCAGCAGCCCACGGGGGAGGCCAGAGGGAGGACUGUGUGUGUGAGGUGGCAGAUUCCCAGAUUCACCCCUCAUCCUCCUCUUAGGAGCCCUGCGGGGCCGUACGCCGAGGGACCGACGCCGUGUCUCAUCAGCUCCUUUGGAAAGAGGCUGGUGAGCCUGAGGAAAGGGUCGCCUCCUCCACAUCUGAAAAGUGCCUUCAGGCCCAUCUGGGACGACCCAUCGAAGCAGGCCGAUUCCGCUCCAGAAAGGGACAACAGACCUGGAUUCAUCCCAGUUCCAGCUCCAGUGAGGCACAACGUCCACGCCGUCAAUCCCAGCAGGGAAAACCUGAGACCCGUGCUGGCUCAGCAGCGAGGGAACCACGCGCCAGCGGUGGGCGGGGGAGGACUGUGGGACAGCGAGGACAGCGAGGGACCCUGCAGCACAGUUUGACUUUCUGCAGUCCUCCCUGGACGCACGAUGACCGCAGCACAAGUGGGAUGAAUCGCCCCAAAGAGCCACUUUAACUUCUGGACUCAUGUUCAAGCAGAAAAAAAGGUCCAAAUGCAACAUUUGGUUCAUUUUUGUUUCUUGUUCUUUAGGGAAACUAAAGCUAUGAAAAGUGUAGCUGUAGAUCAACGUUUUUCUCUCGAUGGAGGUGUAUAACAUCUCUUAACGUAAGAGAGAAUGCCAACAUAAAAAUAAUAACUUAAAAAAAAACCUUUAUCCACAGAGGGGCAAGACGGGGCUGGAACUGAAGGGAAUAUAGGCUCCAGCUUUACUGAGGUAAAUACAUGACAGCAACUUGCAGAACAGUUGAUUUAAAUUAAAUGACCUUUCCUGUCUUGGUAUAAUUAAUAUUAGGCAAACCUGAUAGAUUUUUAGCUUAUCUGAUAGUAUCAAAAGAAUAUGCCAGCGUGGAGGAUGAAAUCACGAUUUUUUUGUCCACCUGAGAAUAAAAUAAAGGUUAUAAAAAUGUGUAAAAAAAGUCUUAAUAUAGCAAUUUUGUUUCUUAUCGCAGUAACAUAAUUUUACAAUAUUCACGAUACCAAACUACUAAAGAUCUAGACCUUUUGAAGACAAGCAGGCCCACAGCAUCAUAGGUCCUCUACCUGAAGGGUUUGAUAUGGAAAAGCUCAACCGAUAUGAUUAACGUUCCAGUAGUCUAGCAAAAAGCACGUUUACAUUUAUGAUAGUAUAAUUUAAAUCCCAAACAACAGAUUGGCAUCUAGAUAAGAGUCUGAAGCUGUUCCUGGUACCUUUCGGUUUUUCUUUUUUUGGGGGGGAUUUUCUUUGACCUCGUCCAGCCUAGUAGCUAAGAGAAAUGGGCCUCUGGAUGUCAUCAUGUUUGCACAAUAGGGCAACCAAGCCAUGGAUUACCAAUUACAAGUCCCAAGGAACUCUUUAUAAAUGUAAAAAUGUGACGAUUAGUGGUACCAACCUAGAUUUUGCUAAAACUAUUA
This is a long non-coding RNA of Fundulus heteroclitus (mummichog), 1634 nucleotides long. RefSeq lists it as uncharacterized. The record is from RefSeq and is a predicted model, not a curated record. The transcript is spliced from 3 exons. Lineage: Eukaryota; Metazoa; Chordata; Actinopteri; Cyprinodontiformes; Fundulidae.